UACGAAGGGGGCUAGCGUUGUUCGGAAUUACUGGGCGUAAAGCGCACGUAGGCGGAUUGGAAAGUUGGGGGUGAAAUCCCGGGGCUCAACCCCGGAACUGCCUUCAAAACUCCCAGUCUGGAGGUCGAGAGAGGUGAGUGGAAUUCCGAGUGUAGAGGUGAAAUUCGUAGAUAUUCGGAGGAACACCAGUGGCGAAGGCGGCUCACUGGCUCGAUACUGACGCUGAGGUGCGAAAGCGUGGGGAGCAAACAGG
This 253-nucleotide ribosomal RNA is filed under the name uncultured bacterium. RNAcentral's name for it is "partial 16S ribosomal RNA". It matches the Rfam family "Bacterial small subunit ribosomal RNA", at positions 524 to 776 of the family's 1533-position model. The record is from RNAcentral.